UGAGGAGGCUUUCUUAUGGCUAUAUGAGUAGAUGGUGCUAGAAAAGAGGACCACACAAAGAUGUGUACACAUGGGGAACCUAUGAAGGGGCUGUGAGACAGGCUUACAAGCAGGCCAAGCUAAGAAAUGUUCUAGAGGGUUGCAGCAAUGGGUUUGAGUAAGCAGCUGUCUGAUACUUGUUAUAGAGUCCCUGGACUGAGAUGAUAGGGUGGCUGGUGUCUCCUACUAACUUACUGAAGAAAGGAAAACUUCCUGGCAUGAGGGUUGAAGUACUAGUGAGCCUGGAAUAAGGCUGAAUUACCCAGUAUGAGAUUGUUGGAUGAUUAUUGGACUUCUGCAUUAGCGCUUGCUAAAUGAAAGGCUACCUCCCUUCUGGAAAUAACACUGGAAUUGGUCUAUCCAGGAGUGGUAGACUAAGGAGCAUGGAGAAAAAGGACAGUUGGAGGAAACAGCAAGCUGAUCAGAGUGGGAAUGCAAAGACAAACUCGUGUUUGGAAGCCACAGGAGGUUUUGAACAGCCAGAGUCUAAAGUCUCUGCUGGGUAACCUCAGAGAAGGAAGCUGAGAGAAGGAACACUGAAGGACCUGUGAUUUGGCUGGAGAGGCAGCAAAAGAAAGGGCUAGACAAGCGGCUUGAAGAGUGAAGGAGUGUAAGCUGGUAACUUUCAGGAAUUUGUGCUAGAUCCACCAUACACAAUGACUGGCAAGAAAGAUUUCAAGAACAUUCUAUGCAUCAGAGUAGCAAAAACAUCUGACACUGCUUGCAGCCCUGGGAUGUGGGGAAGGAGGAAGUCUGCAAUAAUUCAUCUGUGGGCAGGGCCAGCUCCAGCUUUUUUGCUGCCCCAAGCGGCGAAGCAGUUUAA
Molecule: long non-coding RNA, 862 nt
Organism: Mauremys reevesii (Reeves's turtle)
Lineage: Eukaryota; Metazoa; Chordata; Testudines; Geoemydidae
Exons: 4
Source: RefSeq, a predicted model, not a curated record